UAAACACCACUCUUUCUCUUUUACUAUCUUCAAGUGUAGGAGGAGGGGACCAUUACACAUGCUCCCGAGCCUUAGAGAAGACUAAACCGCCGACGCGACGUCACGCGUGUGCUUACGCUUGCGCUUCGUUUUCUUACGCUUCCGCUAUUUUGUGCUUAUAAUUUGUGAUCUUCUCCCACGGAGACAGGUGAAGAGACGGAGGACUAUAGGUUCUGUCAAACGUUACCUCAAAUAUAUCACUUCUGGCGGUAACUGGUCUCCCUGAGAGCGCACGAGCCCAUUAUUUUCUCAUCCUGUACGCAUCGAAUGCGAAGGGAAGGAGCGCGAUCUCUACCUUGUAUACUGUUGUUUCACGUAAUCGAUUAACAGAGUCACCCACUCCGCCGUCCCCGUCACCAAUGCUAGGGUUCUUUAUCGCACUUUGGGGUUUGUUAAUUGCCCCAAUAUGUGCAGUGCUUGCGGCAGUUUACCGCUGGAAUACGACCCAUAAUAAUCGACCCACCAAUAAUAGUGUGGACUCGUUAGAACAUCAUGACACGUACACAGCCUCUCCAAAGACCGACUAUAGCUGUCAGUUCGCACUAGCACUUGGCCCCCAUGACAAUUCAGACUUACGCAAUGGAAACAACAUAGAAGAGAUGGAAAUGUUUGCUGUGAGCGACGUUCUGAGAAUUCGUGGCAAUCGAGACUUUAAUGACGUACCUAGCAACUAUAGUCACCCACUCCGCCGUCCCCGUCACCAAUGCUAGGGUUCUUUAUCGCACUUUGGGGUUUGUUAAUUGCCCCAAUAUGUGCAGUGCUUGCGGCAGUUUACCGCUGGAAUACGACCCAUAAUAAUCGACCCACCAAUAAUAGUGUGGACUCGUUAGAACAUCAUGACACGUACACAGCCUCUCCAAAGACCGACUAUAGCUGUCAGUUCGCACUAGCACUUGGCCCCCAUGACAAUUCAGACUUUGUAGACAGAUUUUGUAUGUCCGAUAAAUGUUUAGUAUCCCAGUAGAUUUUUCAACCAUGUGCUGCAUUAAAAUGUUUUAUGUAUUUUCGCGAUAGUCGGCAAUGAUGUAGCCCGUGUAGAGGACCCUUU
This is a long non-coding RNA of Pieris brassicae (large cabbage white), 1087 nucleotides long. RefSeq lists it as uncharacterized. Lineage: Eukaryota; Metazoa; Arthropoda; Insecta; Lepidoptera; Pieridae. The transcript has 7 exons. The record is from RefSeq and is a predicted model, not a curated record.